Molecule: transfer RNA, 86 nt
Filed under: Bacilli bacterium
Lineage: Bacteria; Bacillati; Bacillota; Bacilli
Also listed under: 1 other name
Description: tRNA-Leu
Rfam family: tRNA
About the family: Transfer RNA (tRNA) molecules are approximately 80 nucleotides in length. Their secondary structure includes four short double-helical elements and three loops (D, anti-codon, and T loops).
Source: RNAcentral
GCCCGAGUGGUGAAAUUGGUAGACGCAAUGGACUCAAAAUCCAUCGGUUAACAGCCAUGUCGGUUCGAGUCCGACCCCGGGCACCA